RNAcentral lists this ribosomal RNA (483 nucleotides) under uncultured bacterium. Its description in RNAcentral is "partial 16S ribosomal RNA". It matches the Rfam family "Bacterial small subunit ribosomal RNA", at positions 30 to 506 of the family's 1533-position model. The record is from RNAcentral.
AUUGAACGCUGGCGGCAGGCCUAACACAUGCAAGUCGAGCGGAUGAAGGGAGCUUGCUCCUGGAUUCAGCGGCGGACGGGUGAGUAAUGCCUAGGAAUCUGCCUGGUAGUGGGGGAUAACGUCCGGAAACGGGCGCUAAUACCGCAUACGUCCUGAGGGAGAAAGUGGGGGAUCUUCGGACCUCACGCUAUCAGAUGAGCCUAGGUCGGAUUAGCUAGUUGGUGGGGUAAAGGCCUACCAAGGCGACGAUCCGUAACUGGUCUGAGAGGAUGAUCAGUCACACUUGAACUGAGACCCGGUUCAGACUCCUACGGGAGGCAGCAGUGGGGAAUAUUGGACCAUGGGCGAAAGCCUGAUCCAGCCAUGCCGCGUGUGUGAAGAAGGGCUUCGGAUUGUAAAGCCCUUUAAGUUGGGAGGAAGGGCAGUAAGUUUAUACCUUGCUGUUUUGACGUUACCAACAGAAUAAGCACCGGCUAACUUCGU